CCUGAUAAUUGCGUCGUUGUGCCUGGGCUGUGAGGGCUCUCAGCCCAGCUGCGCCAGGGAAAAGAAUAGAAGAAGCA
This 77-nucleotide transfer RNA is filed under the name Saccharum spontaneum (wild sugarcane). RNAcentral describes it as "tRNA-Ile". RNAcentral also lists the same sequence under 1 other name. The record is from RNAcentral. Lineage: Eukaryota; Viridiplantae; Streptophyta; Magnoliopsida; Poales; Poaceae.